GACGAACGCUGCGGCGUGCUUAACACAUGCAAGUCGAGCGGUAAGGCCCUUUCGGGGGUACACGAGCGGCGAACGGGUGAGUAACACGUGGGUGACCUGCCCUUAGCUCUGGGAUAAGCCUGGGAAACUGGGUCUAAUACCGGAUAUGACUCCAUGACGCAUGUUGUGGGGUGGAAAGCCUUGUGCGGCUAGGGAUGGGCCCGCGGCCUAUCAGCUUGUUGGUGGGGUGAUGGCCUACCAAGGCGACGACGGGUAGCCGGCCUGAGAGGGCGACCGGCCACACUGGGACUGAGACACGGCCCAGACUCCUACGGGAGGGCAGCAGUGGGGAAUCUUGCGCAAUGGGCGAAAGCCUGACGCAGCGACGCCGCGUGAGGGAUGACGGCCUCGGUUGUAA
RNAcentral lists this ribosomal RNA (397 nucleotides) under uncultured bacterium. Its description in RNAcentral is "bacterial SSU rRNA". It matches the Rfam family "Bacterial small subunit ribosomal RNA", at positions 28 to 428 of the family's 1533-position model. The record is from RNAcentral.